RNAcentral lists this ribosomal RNA (460 nucleotides) under uncultured bacterium. Its description in RNAcentral is "partial 16S ribosomal RNA". It matches the Rfam family "Bacterial small subunit ribosomal RNA", at positions 338 to 795 of the family's 1533-position model. The record is from RNAcentral.
CCUACGGGAGGCAGCAGUGAGGAAUAUUGGUCAAUGGCCGUAAGGCUGAACCAGCCAAGUAGCGUGAGGGAAGACUGCCCUAUGGGUUGUAAACCUCUUUUAUGCGGGGAUAAAGGUGUCCACGUGUGGAUGUUUGCAGGUACCGUAUGAAUAAGGACCGGCUAAUUCCGUGCCAGCAGCCGCGGUAAUACGGAAGGUCCGGGCGUUAUCCGGAUUGAUUGGGUUUAAAGGGAGCGUAGGCCGGUCUUUAAGCGUGCCGUGAAAUUUUGUGGCUCAACCAUGAGAGUGCGGCGCGAACGGGAGGACUUGAGUGCGCGAGAGGCAGGUGGAAGUCGAGGUGUAGCGGUGAAAUGCUUAGAUAUCACGAAGAACCCCGAUGGCGAAGGCAGCCUGCCGGUGCGUUACUGACGCUGAGGCUCGAAAGCGCGGGUAUCGAACAGGAUUAGAUACCCGAGUAGUC